This 465-nucleotide ribosomal RNA is filed under the name Vreelandella stevensii. RNAcentral describes it as "partial 16S ribosomal RNA". It matches the Rfam family "Bacterial small subunit ribosomal RNA", at positions 338 to 795 of the family's 1533-position model. The record is from RNAcentral. Lineage: Bacteria; Pseudomonadati; Pseudomonadota; Gammaproteobacteria; Oceanospirillales; Halomonadaceae.
CCUACGGGGGGCAGCAGUGGGGAAUAUUGGACAAUGGGGGGAACCCUGAUCCAGCCAUGCCGCGUGUGUGAAGAAGGCCCUCGGGUUGUAAAGCACUUUCAGUGAGGAAGAACGCCUGGUGGUUAAUACCCAUCAGGAAAGACAUCACUCACAGAAGAAGCACCGGCUAACUCCGUGCCAGCAGCCGCGGUAAUACGGAGGGUGCGAGCGUUAAUCGGAAUUACUGGGCGUAAAGCGCGCGUAGGUGGCUUGAUAAGCCGGUUGUGAAAGCCCCGGGCUCAACCUGGGAACGGCAUCCGGAACUGUCAAGCUAGAGUGCAGGAGAGGAAGGUAGAAUUCGCGGUGUAGCGGUGAAAUGCGUAGAGAUCGGGAGGAAUACCAGUGGCGAAGGCGGCCUUCUGGACUGACACUGACACUGAGGUGCGAAAGCGUGGGUAGCAAACAGGAUUAGAUACCCUAGUAGUC